This 614-nucleotide ribosomal RNA is filed under the name uncultured bacterium. RNAcentral's name for it is "bacterial SSU rRNA". The stretch from base 1 to 522 matches the Rfam family "Bacterial small subunit ribosomal RNA", at positions 338 to 873 of the family's 1533-position model. The record is from RNAcentral.
CCUACGGGAGGCAGCAGUAGGGAAUUUUCCACAAUGGGCGAAAGCCUGAUGGAGCAAUACCGCGUGCAGGAUGAAGGCCUUCGGGUCGUAAACUGCUUUUAUGUGCGAAGAAUUUGACGGUAACACAUGAAUAAGGAUCGGCUAACUACGUGCCAGCAGCCGCGGCCAUACGUAGGAUCCAAGCGUUAUCCGGAAUUACUGGGCGUAAAGAGUUGCGUAGGUGGCAUUAUAAGUGGAGCGUGAAAGCGUGCGGCUCAACCGCAUUAUUGCGUUCCAAACUGUGAAGCUUGAGUAUGGGAGAGGUAGAUGGAAUUUCUAGUGUAGGAGUGAAAUCCGUAGAUAUUAGAAGGAACACCGAUGGCGUAGGCAGUCUACUGGCCCAUUACUGACACUAAGGCACGAAAGCGUGGGGAGCAAACGGGGAUUAGAUACCCCGGUAGUCCACGCUGUAAACUAUGGAUGCUAGCUGUGACACACAUCGACCUGUGUCGUAGCGAAGUUAACGCGUUAAGCGACUCCGCCGUCGGGAGGUACGGUCGGCGAGUAAGUAAACGUACGUUAAAGAAGUAGUUACGGACGUGAGACGNGCCGACGGACGACGACGAGGGAGGAGG